This 244-nucleotide ribosomal RNA is filed under the name uncultured bacterium. RNAcentral describes it as "partial small subunit ribosomal RNA". It matches the Rfam family "Bacterial small subunit ribosomal RNA", at positions 26 to 285 of the family's 1533-position model. The record is from RNAcentral.
AGAAUCAACGCUGGCGGCGUGCCUAACACAUGCAAGUCGAACGAGAAAGUGGAGCAAUCCAUGAGUAAAGUGGCGCACGGGUGAGUAACACGUGACUAACCUACCCUUGAGUGGGGGAUAACCUAGGGAAACCUGGGCUAAUACCGCAUAAUAUCGAGAGAUCAAAGGAGCAAUUCGCUUAAGGAGGGGUCGCGGCUGAUUAGCUAGUUGGUGAGGUAAUGGCUCACCAAGGCUAUGAUCAGUA